UUGUAGUUUUGCCAAAAGUAAAAAGUAGUUUGACUCUCAGGAGAGGAGCCCAUUGUUCAAAUCUAAAUUUUAUCAAGCCAAAAGUGAAUACCACCACCUGUCUCCACAGAAGAAAAACCCACCACCUUCACCAUAUGACUCACAUCAGAACAGAUUGCCUUAAUAUCCCAUGCAAGUAAAAUAAUGCUCAAGAUUCUACAACAAAAAGGCUCUUACCAUACAUGGAGCAAGAAAUGCCAGAUGUCCAAGCUGUAUUUAAAAAGGGAAGAGGCACCAGAGAUCAUAUCACAAACAUAGGUUGGAUAAUGGAACGGACCAAGGAAUUUCAGAAGAAAAUCACCCUGUGCUUUAUAGAUUACAGCAAAGCCUUUGACUGUGUAGAUCACGAAAAACUAUGGAAUGCUUUAAAAGCAAUGGGGGUGCCACAGCAUCUGAUUGUCCUGAUGCGCAACCUAUAGUCUGCACAAGAGGCUACUGUAAGGACACAAUAUGGAGAAACCGAUUGGUUCCCAAUUGGAAAGGGUGUGUGACAGGGGUGUAUUUUAUCACCCUAAUUGUUUAAUCUAUACGUAGAACAUAUCAUACGGAAAGCGGGAUUGGACCAAGUUGGUGUGAAAAUUGGAAGGAGAAAUAUCAAUAAUUUAAGAUAUGCAGACAACACCAUACUACUAGCAGAAACCAGUAAUGAUUUGAAAUGAAUGCUGAUGAAAGUUAAAGAGGAAAGCACAAAAGCAGGACUACAGCUGAACGUCAAGAAGACUAAAGUAAUGACAACAGAAGAUUUAUGUAACUUUACAGUUGACAAUGAGGACAUUGAACUUGUCAAGGAUUAUCAAUACCCAAAAUGUAGACAAUAGUCAAGAAAUCAGAAGAAGGCUAGACUGGGGAGGGCAACUAGGAGAGAACUGGAAAAGGUCCUCAAAUGCAAAGAUGUAUCAUUGAACACUAAAGUCAGGAUCAUUCAGACCAUGGUAUUCCCGAUCUCUAUGUAUGGAUGUGAAAGUUGGACAGUGAAAAAAGUGGAACUGUAGGCACAAUACCUCCAUGAAAACAUAGGCCUACACAAAUGGAGAAAUUGCCACAACGACGUACGGAAGUCUCCUCUCUACCAUCCCAUCCCUUGGUACCCACUGGCCAUUACCUUGGAAUAGAAGACCAAUAUGCCUACGUAUACAGUCCUUCAUUUCCUCUCCAGGAGCUUGAUCACUAAAUCAGUCCUGCUCUAUUACAAUCCUUCACUGUGCAGCUACAGUUGGACAGAGGGAUAGCCAACUGGGUGGAUCAAGUCUGGCACAAUCUGAUUAAGACACAUUCUGCUUAGGUGACAAUAUCCAUGGAACUCAGGUCUCUCUUACCUCUAAACGUAGGAAGCCAGUGCCUGGGGGCAGAUUUUCAGGAAUAGUCACUGUAUAGGAGGAAUUUGUGAACACAGGACUGUUGUCAUCAAUAUCCAGAACUUUGAUUCCCAGAGUUAAUGUGGUACGACGGGCAUCCACAGCUCCAUCUGUUGCUUCAACAAUGAGUUCAUAAUAGUCCCUUUUUUCUCUGUUGAGCUUCACUAAGGUGUAAAUACUGCCAUUGGAUGUUAUGCGAAAAAGAUGGUUGAAGUUUGCUAAACUAUAACGGACUUGGCCAUUUACUCCAGCAUCGGGGUCAGUAGCCUAAAAGGUAAGAAAAAAUAUAUAAUCAGGAGCUUGUAGCACAAGGAGGCCCUCUUCAGGUCAAUAGAGGAAAGCCAGCUUCUUUGAUAUUAAAUUCAUAACCCUGCAACUCUAAGAAAGUGAGGACAUUCAGGGCUAUUGAUCAAAAUGUCUUUGACAGGAAUCCAGAUUCCAAACAGCAAUGUCACUGAAAGUCCCAGGCAAAUGCAAUUCUGCAAAAAAAGCCAGCUUAGCCACCUGGCUACUAAAGACUCUAAAACCGGGAGAAGCAAUUUAAAUUCAAGUAGGAUCAAAGUGAACAUACAUCAGGUAUUGAGACGAAGGGUAGCAAGUCCACUCCUGCAAGUAGCAGUUAAACAGUUCAUCUUAAAUUAGCAGUGGCUGUCACAAUAAUCCAUAUUCAGACACUUCCUAAAAAAAAAUGGGAAUGGACUGCCUUCAAGUCAAUCCUGACUUAUGGCUACCCUAUUUUCAUGGUAAGCGGUAUUCAGAGGGGGUUUCCCAUUGCCUCCCUCUGAAGCUAGUCCUCUCCAGCUGGCUAGGGACUGCUCAGCUUGCCACAGCUGCACAAGCCAGCCUCUUUCUUGUCUGCAACUGCCAGCUGGGGGGCAACUGGGCUCCUUGGGACUAUGCAGCUUGCCCAUGGCUGCACAGGUGGCAGGGCACGUAACCCCUGAGCCACUCACUGUGGGAGUGAUCUUUAGCUGGCCCUUGACACCCAGGAGACAUGAGUGUGGAUUUGAACUCACAGACUCUGGACUCUCAGCCAGGCUCUCCUCCCCACUGUGCUAUAUCGAAGUCCUUACUUUUUCCUGAAUCUCCUGAAUUGCAAAAAAGAAAACUCUGCUUGCUCCCACUUUCUGUUGGGAGUUAUUGGUUUCUACUGGGGAUUGCCAGAGACUAGCAUGAAUGAAAUCCUUGACUCUGUUAUCUUCAGUCUGCUUCUAUUCCUGCUUGAACCCAUAGGUAUUUCUACUCCUUGACCUAAAGCCAUGCCUUGGAUAUCUAGAGGAGGCCAGGUAGAUCGGGAGGCAGGGCAGAAUUCAGAAUAUCAGCAGACCUGAUACCAUACAACCUCUUCUAUUCACUUUAAAUAAAUGAAGGGGUAGCAACUUUGCCCACUUAAGUAAAAUGAAUGUCCACUAGACUAAGGGACUUUCAUUUGUGCACAUUUAUAAAAGAGCCUGCAGAUCAUAUCCCACAAGAUGUUACAUAACAUAAAGGUUCCUGGUUAUCAGCACUACUGUCAGGAAGUUUCUAAAGACAUUUAAUAUCCUGCCAUGGUGCUCAGUGUGAAGCAUGAUAAUGAAACCAUUUAUCUU
Long non-coding RNA from Rhineura floridana, 2983 nucleotides. RefSeq lists it as uncharacterized. The record is from RefSeq and is a predicted model, not a curated record. NCBI's taxonomy places the organism in Eukaryota, Metazoa, Chordata, Lepidosauria, Squamata, Rhineuridae. The transcript is spliced from 4 exons.